CAUUAGUAUUUAGAUUUGUCAUUGUGCUCUAUGCUCAUCGCACCUAAUUGUUGAUGUGUUGAAUCAAUAAAAGGGAAGUGGAUUAAGAUACUGGUGGCGGUUCACCCAGACUGGGUGAAAAGCCAUCACAUUUAAUGGUUGGAAAGGGUGGAGAAGAUGAAUGAGGAGAGAAAGGGUAAAUAGUUUCUUGAAUGUGUUGUCAUUAUUUGUGCUUUUAAUGCAAUGAGAAAGCUUAUGAACACGAGCUAGGGGUG
Molecule: long non-coding RNA, 254 nt
Filed under: Gossypium raimondii (Peruvian cotton)
Lineage: Eukaryota; Viridiplantae; Streptophyta; Magnoliopsida; Malvales; Malvaceae
Description: long non-coding RNA (GRAI_LNC000309)
Source: RNAcentral